Molecule: long non-coding RNA, 1299 nt
Filed under: Manihot esculenta (cassava)
Lineage: Eukaryota; Viridiplantae; Streptophyta; Magnoliopsida; Malpighiales; Euphorbiaceae
Description: long non-coding RNA (MESC_LNC007673)
Source: RNAcentral
AGGACUUCUUUCCCAUGUUGGGCUUUUAGCAAUUAGAUCUUAGUUAGGAUUUUCAUGCAUAGUUCUUGUUUCACGCCAUGUAUUCUGCCUCACUCUAAUGAAGUUAAUUCUCAGGCGAAAAAAAUAAUGGUUUUCGAGAAAGGGCGAUAAUGAAGUGGUGAGAACAACGGAAGAAUGCAAAUACUCCCAACAGUAAAUGAGGAUGGCCCACUCAAAACCACCCUUUUACACAUUCCAACACUCUAUUGGCUUUUGCAAAUAUCAUUGGCAUUUAUCAAUCUAUUCCACUUUAUCUUAUAUAUAUAAAUGUAUAACUUGAUGUGAACAAGACCCGUGAUGAGAUAACGUACCGCUCUACAGACUUUGGACACUACCACGUGUCAUCCAUCUAGCAUCGAUACACUGUGUGCUGUGUACUUCGGAACUGAAAGCGCACUCGACAAAUUCAUCCAUUGAUGGAUCGGUUCAGCACGGCCUUGUUGCCAAGUUCAGAAAAAUUGAAAUCAAACACUUGUGUGUAUUGUGUCUUUCGAAACUGAAAUCGCACUCAGCAAAAUUCAUUCAUCGAUGGAUUGGUUCAGCACGGCUUUGUUGCGAAUUCAAAAAAUUGAAAUCAAACAUCAUGAAGCUAAUUGAAAUGUAAAAUUGAGAUCAAUUCAACCACAAGAAUUUACAUAAACAGCCAAAAACAUUAAGAACAAAAGCCCCCAAAGAGAGAAUCGAGAGAGAGAGAGAGGAAAGUAAAGGAAGAAAUUCAGACUCAAAAUUUAACAUUAUUAAGCGGGAGCUCGAAUUAAAGGAGGAUGUAAAGAGGAAGCAAAGGGAAGGCUGCGUAGAAUGAGAAAACGAACUCGCCUUGGGAAAGGGGCUUCAUUAAACAUGUGCUCGAGUACCCUCGCCAGCAGCGCCGUGUACUCCUCCAUAAGCUCCGCUACAAUAGCCACCAGUAUCAUCUUCUUCUUAAUUUCUUCUCUGAGAGAUAGAUAUGUAUUGUGAGAUUUGGUAUUUUAGGUUUUCUUCGUCUCUUUUUAUUGGGGUUUUGGUUUUGCUAGUUUUUAUUGAUGUGGUGGCGAUUACCACGGCGCCUUCGAUAACUUUUCCAGUGUGCUGCUACUUGCCAACCUCGUUUCCCUUCAGCUUCCACGUGGACACCUUUAUCAUAGGACCACUGUUUUAGUUUUUUCUAGACCAUCGUCCUUAUCCUCUCCUCCAUAACUUUUUAUAAUUGCUACGGCUAAUAUUCAAACUCAAGGAACUUUAAUAUUAAUUAGCAAAAGCUUACUGGUCUCUCCUCUCAUU